This 441-nucleotide ribosomal RNA is filed under the name Streptomyces turgidiscabies. Its description in RNAcentral is "bacterial SSU rRNA". It matches the Rfam family "Bacterial small subunit ribosomal RNA", at positions 1107 to 1533 of the family's 1533-position model. Lineage: Bacteria; Bacillati; Actinomycetota; Actinomycetes; Kitasatosporales; Streptomycetaceae. The record is from RNAcentral.
GUUCUGUGUUGCCAGCAUGCCCUUCGGGGUGAUGGGGACUCACAGGAGACUGCCGGGGUCAACUCGGAGGAAGGUGGGGACGACGUCAAGUCAUCAUGCCCCUUAUGUCUUGGGCUGCACACGUGCUACAAUGGCCGGUACAAUGAGCUGCGAUGCCGUGAGGCGGAGCGAAUCUCAAAAAGCCGGUCUCAGUUCGGAUUGGGGUCUGCAACUCGACCCCAUGAAGUCGGAGUUGCUAGUAAUCGCAGAUCAGCAUUGCUGCGGUGAAUACGUUCCCGGGCCUUGUACACACCGCCCGUCACGUCACGAAAGUCGGUAACACCCGAAGCCGGUGGCCCAACCCCUCACGGGGAGGGAGCUGUCGAAGGUGGGACUGGCGAUUGGGACGAAGUCGUAAACAAGGUAGCCGUACCGGAAGUGCGGCUGGAUCACCUCCUUUCU